CUCGCUGGCCAAAUCUGAUGGCUGCUUCCAGCCGUUGGCCUGCGGGGCUGUUUGCAGUCGGUAUCUGUAAGCCACCUGCCUGCAGAUAACCUGGCUUCUGCUGGUGUGUGUGUGAGUAACUGGGUGAUGGGAGGAGAUGGAGGAGGGAAGGAGUGUCAAGGCCGUGCCUGUUGCUGUCUGGAGGAGGCUGAAAUUCUGCCACAGGACCAGAGACACUUGAGAAGGCCAACCUCUGUUCAGUUGGACGGAAACAACUGAAAAAGGACAAGGCCAAGAUAUUUCCUCAGUGUCACAUUUUGCCUCCUCCUGCGUGGUGCAGAAAGGAGUGGGGGAGAGAGGAAGAAAAGAGCAGUUGGACUAUAAUGACUCUGGUGUCACCCAACUGCUCAUGGGUUCGACGGAGACUGGGGCUUCAAAACACCGAGGCUGGAGGAGGCAGGGCUGUAAAGCUUUCCUGCACUAACCUGCAGAAUAGUUGCUGCUCCAUAUGAUUUCUGUUUCUGUCCCCAAAAGUGCUUUUUGCAGUAGGAAUAGAAUUCUAUAAAUGUUCUGUAUUUAUUAUUUUGCUGGAGUGAAUUAGUUAUGCUGAACUUAGAUCAAUAAAAUGAGAAAAAGAAGAAAAAAAAAACACCCAAAGAUAAAAGAAACUGCGGAAAGCCGUGCAUUCCAGAAUAAACACAGCACUCCUUGCCGUGGUACAGGCACUGUUUGUGCCUGGCUUCUCAACAGGGGUUCUUGCACAUCCAGUAACUUUGUUUGUAUUUUGUAAAUUAGCAGAUGGCUCUUUGAUACAAAGGAGAAAGUGUUCCCACAUCAGAUUGAGCCUCCUUCUCUGUCUUCUCCCCCCUCUGUUAUUAAACAAAUCAUAGGGGGAGAGACGACCACAGUGCCUAUAUGCAAA
This is a non-coding RNA of Anas platyrhynchos (mallard), 901 nucleotides long. Lineage: Eukaryota; Metazoa; Chordata; Aves; Anseriformes; Anatidae. The record is from RefSeq and is a predicted model, not a curated record.